Molecule: ribosomal RNA, 498 nt
Filed under: uncultured bacterium
Lineage: Bacteria
Description: partial 16S ribosomal RNA
Rfam family: Bacterial small subunit ribosomal RNA
Source: RNAcentral
GAUGAACGCUGGCGGCGUGCCUAAUACAUGCAAGUCGAACGCCUCACUUCGGUGAAGAGUGGCGAACGGGUGAGUAAUACAUAAGUAACCUGGCAUCUACAGGGGGAUAACUGAUGGAAACGUCAGCUAAGACCGCAUAGGUGUAGAGAUCGCAUGAACUCUAUAUGAAAAGUGCUACGGGACUGGUAGAUGAUGGACUUAUGGCGCAUUAGCUGGUUGGUAGGGUAACGGCCUACCAAGGCGACGAUGCGUAGCCGACCUGAGAGGGUGACCGGCCACACUGGGACUGAGACACGGCCCAGGCUCCUACGGGAGGCAGCAGUAGGGAAUUUUCGGCAAUGGGGGAAACCCUGACCGAGCAACGCCGCGUGAAGGAAGAAGUAAUUCGUUAUGUAAACUUCUGUCAUAGAGGAAGAACGGUGGAUAUAGGGAAUGAUAUCCAAGUGACGGUACUCUAUAAGAAAGCCACGGCUAACUACGUGCCAGCCGCCGCAGUAA